GGGUCUAUGAUGACAAACCAAAGUCAUGAAGAGAGGUGAUGACAUAAAUAUCAUGCUCAGGUUCCGGCUGCUGAGGCCC
This 79-nucleotide small nucleolar RNA is filed under the name Mesocricetus auratus (golden hamster). RNAcentral's name for it is "Small nucleolar RNA SNORD115 (ENSMAUG00000004806.1)". It matches the Rfam family "Small nucleolar RNA SNORD115". Rfam says of the family: HBII-52 is a member of the C/D class of snoRNAs, which contain the C (UGAUGA) and D (CUGA) box motifs. HBII-52 is encoded in a tandemly repeated array with another C/D snoRNA, HBII-85, in the Prader-Willi syndrome (PWS) region of chromosome 15. Lineage: Eukaryota; Metazoa; Chordata; Mammalia; Rodentia; Cricetidae. The record is from Rfam by way of RNAcentral.